UUAGCAUGCUUUAGCUUGGAAUUUAACUCAUAUUUAACUCAUCAACACCAAGAAAGCAAGUUAUAACACAACCAAUCAGCACAACUUCUCCAAUCAAUACUAAAAGUAGUUCUUCCCUUACUCAUAAAUCAAAAUUGGCUCAACACAUAGUAACAUGCUCAAUAUCCCCCAAUUUCUAUCAUAUAAUGACAUUCCACGCUCCCAAGAGGACAAUUAAACAAGCAUCCAACAUAUAGUUAUCUUGCAUCAAGAAUUCCCAAAUCCACUUAAAUUAAACUAUUGGGAAAUCAUGAUUUCUU
RNAcentral lists this long non-coding RNA (299 nucleotides) under Salvia miltiorrhiza (redroot sage). RNAcentral's name for it is "long non-coding RNA (SMIL_LNC012206)". Lineage: Eukaryota; Viridiplantae; Streptophyta; Magnoliopsida; Lamiales; Lamiaceae. The record is from RNAcentral.